CGGUGGAGGAGGUGGAGAAGUGUCGGGUGGCGGAGCGAGCAUGACCGUGAACAGGUCCAUUGUCACUUCGUCCUCCGGUGGGGGUGGGGUGACGAUGUCAUCAGGAGGCACUGUGUCUGGAGGAGAGACUGUGGUCGUAAAGACAAGCCGAGUGGAGAGCUCCUCAUCAUCAGGUGGCACAACGGUUUCAGGAGGUGGAGCCAUGAUGUCAGGAGGUGGAGCCAUGAUUUCAGGAGGCGGAGCCAUGAUGUCAGGAGGUGGAGCCAUGGUGUCAGGAGGUGGAGCCAUGAUUUCAGGAGGUGGAGCCAUGAUUUCAGGAGGUGGGGCCCAAAUGAUGUCAGGAGGUGAGGCCCAAAUGAUGUCUGGAGGCGGAGCCAUGAUGUCUGGAGGCGGAGCCAUGGUGUCAGGAGGUGGAGCCAUGGUGUCUGGAGGAGAGACCGUGGUCGUAAAGACAAGCCGAGUGGAGAGCUCCUCAUCAUCAGGUGGCACAAUGGUUUCAGGAGGUGGAGCCAUGAUGUCAGGAGGUGGAGCCAUGAUUUCAGGAGGUGGCGCCCAAAUGAUGUCAGGAGGUGGAGGCAUGAUGUCAGGAGGUAUGAUGUCAUCGGAGACUGUCCAAAUAUCAUCAGGUGGCUCAUUGGUGUCAGGUGGUGGGGCAGGAAUGAUGUCAGGAGGUGAAGGCAUGAUGUCCAGUGGCGGUUCCAUGAUAUCUGGUGGCAUGAUGUCAUCAGGUGGCUCCAUGAUGUCAGGAGGUGGAGCCAUGAUGUCAGGAGGUGGCUCCGAAAUGAUGUCAUCAGGUGGAGCCAUGAUUUCAGGAGGUGGAGCCAUGAUGUCAGGAGGUGGGGCCCAAAUGAUGUCAGGAGGUGGAGGCCAAAUGAUGUCAUCAGGUGGAGCCAUGGCAGGCGGCAUGAUGUCAUCAGGUGGCACCAUGAUGUCAGGGGGAGAAACGAUGUCCAUGUCUGGUGGCUCAAUGUCAUCCUC
Long non-coding RNA from Clupea harengus (Atlantic herring), 978 nucleotides. NCBI's taxonomy places the organism in Eukaryota, Metazoa, Chordata, Actinopteri, Clupeiformes, Clupeidae. The record is from Ensembl.